Molecule: ribosomal RNA, 301 nt
Filed under: uncultured bacterium
Lineage: Bacteria
Description: partial 16S ribosomal RNA
Rfam family: Bacterial small subunit ribosomal RNA
Source: RNAcentral
CAGUCGCCACGGUAAUACGUAGGGUGCAAGCGUUAAUCAGAAUUACUGGGCGUAAAGCGUGCGCAGGCGGUUUGUUAAGACGGAUGUGAAAUCCCCGGGCUCAACCUGGGAACUGCAUUCGUGACUGGCAAGCUAGAGUAUGGCAGAAGGGGGUGGAAUUCCACGUGUAGCAGUGAAAUGCGUAGAGAUGUGGAGGAACACCGAUGGCGAAGGCAGCCCCCUGGGCCAAUACUGACGCUCAUGCACGAAAGCGUGGGGAGCAAACAGGAUUAGAUACCCCGGUAGUCCCUGUCUCUUAUAC